Molecule: ribosomal RNA, 492 nt
Filed under: uncultured bacterium
Lineage: Bacteria
Description: partial 16S ribosomal RNA
Rfam family: Bacterial small subunit ribosomal RNA
Source: RNAcentral
AGUGAACGCUGGCGGUAGGCCUAACACAUGCAAGUCGAACGGCAGCACAGUAAGAGCUUGCUCUUACGGGUGGCGAGUGGCGGACGGGUGAGGAAUACAUCGGAAUCUACUUUUUCGUGGGGGAUAACGUAGGGAAACUUACGCUAAUACCGCAUACGACCUACGGGUGAAAGCAGGGGAUCUUCGGACCUUGCGCGAUUGAAUGAGCCGAUGUCGGAUUAGCUAGUUGGAGGGGUAAAGGCCCACCAAGGCGACGAUCCGUAGCUGGUCUGAGAGGAUGAUCAGCCACACUGGAACUGAGACACGGUCCAGACUCCUACGGGAGGCAGCAGUGGGGAAUAUUGGACAAAGGGCGCAAGCCUGAUCCAGCCAUACCGCGUGGGUGAAGAAGGCCUUCGGGUUGUAAAGCCCUUUUGUUGGGAAAGAAAAGCAGCAGGUUAAUACCCCGCUGUUUUGACGGUACCCAAAGAAUAAGCACCGGCUAACUUCGUG